This 253-nucleotide ribosomal RNA is filed under the name uncultured bacterium. RNAcentral describes it as "partial 16S ribosomal RNA". It matches the Rfam family "Bacterial small subunit ribosomal RNA", at positions 524 to 776 of the family's 1533-position model. The record is from RNAcentral.
UACGGAGGGGACUAGCGUUGUUCGGAAUUACUGGGCGUAAAGCGCACGUAGGCGGAUUUGUAAGUCAGGGGUGAAAUCCCGGGGCUCAACCUCGGAACUGCCUUUGAUACUGCAAAUCUCGAGUCCGGAAGAGGUGAGUGGAAUUCCUAGUGUAGAGGUGAAAUUCGUAGAUAUUAGGAAGAACACCAGUGGCGAAGGCAGCUCUCUGGGACGGUACUGACGCUGAGACGCGAAAGCGUGGGGAGCGAACAGG